Long non-coding RNA from Daphnia magna, 685 nucleotides. RefSeq lists it as uncharacterized. The record is from RefSeq and is a predicted model, not a curated record. The transcript has 2 exons. NCBI's taxonomy places the organism in Eukaryota, Metazoa, Arthropoda, Branchiopoda, Diplostraca, Daphniidae.
UGCCCAAGGUUGUUCGUCUAUUAUAGGUCAUUGAACGAGAUAGGGUCAAAAGAACGGCCAUAUCUUGAAAUCACGUGGAAAUCUUUCGACCUUCAAAAUUAUGUUCCUCUACCCUCAACUUUUAUUCCGGGAAACCAGAAUGCGGAACGUGUCAACGUGUAUAUAAGGCGGUAGCCAACACUUAUUAUUUCACAAUCGUGCAAGGGUCUUCCACUGCAUCUGUACUGUUGCUUCAACAUCUCAGGACGCUUCGCUUGCUUGGUUCCUUCAGUGCUGAAUUCCGAAACCGAUCUUGUAGGGCUUGCCAUUCGUCGUCAACUAUAAUUCAAUCAUCCUUUUGUAAAUUCAUUGCUGUUUGAUUGGACCCAUCAAUUGUUCGUCCAUUUCAUGUUAUUGGUUAACUAUUUGCUAUUUAAAAAUCUCAUUGAUUGUUUUCAUAGCUGGUUAAUUACCAACGUACCUGAGGAUAAAAAGUGUGCUCGAUUCUAAGGAGCGUCGAUCAACCGAUAACAUGUCCUUGCCAAGUAAAAAACAAUCAAUUCCGCAAAAGCGUAUCUGGUCAAAAUGCGAGUUUGGUCACUACGGUGAGCUUAGGUACAUUUUACGACGUUUCACGUCUAUGCUUGUUGCUUCGACAAAAAGAACAAAGGAUUUUUGAUUCUGCAUAACAUAGACAAAAUUACCG